Molecule: ribosomal RNA, 253 nt
Filed under: uncultured bacterium
Lineage: Bacteria
Description: partial 16S ribosomal RNA
Rfam family: Bacterial small subunit ribosomal RNA
Source: RNAcentral
UACGGAGGGUGCAAGCGUUAAUCGGAAUUACUGGGCGUAAAGCGUGCGCAGGCGGCUUUGCAAGACAGAUGUGAAAUCCCCGGGCUCAACCUGGGAACUGCAUUUGUGACUGCAUGGCUAGAGUACGGUAGAGGGGGAUGGAAUUCCGCGUGUAGCAGUGAAAUGCGUAGAUAUGCGGAGGAACACCGAUGGCGAAGGCAAUCCCCUGGACCUGUACUGACGCUCAUGCACGAAAGCGUGGGGAGCAAACAGG